RNAcentral lists this long non-coding RNA (1053 nucleotides) under Medicago truncatula (barrel medic). RNAcentral describes it as "long non-coding RNA (MTRU_LNC001478)". Lineage: Eukaryota; Viridiplantae; Streptophyta; Magnoliopsida; Fabales; Fabaceae. The record is from RNAcentral.
CAAUGCAUAUAUUAACUCUUUGAUAACACAAGUUAAAUUAGUGAGAUGCAUAUAACUAGAAUCCAAAAGCAUUGGAUAACACAUGUCACAUGUCAAAACUGACUUUAACUAGUUCCACACCGCAUGUGUUGAGCCGUGACACUAUUCAAAACAUCAUUCAAGAAAAGAAUGGAUACAUGGAGAUAUAUACUAUAAUAUGCUUUGAUGCAUGAGGAUGGAUUAUAUUCAAUUCAUAUCAGUAAAAAAUAAAUAUUCACGGAUGAUAUCUCAAGACCUUUUGAAAAAAAAAACUGAUAUAAAAGUUUCUCAUCCAUAAGCAAGAGAGUGAUCAUCUUAAUUAGUUUUAAAUUUUGCAAUAAAAUUUUAUACCAGUCACGGAAUCACAAAAAUCAUACAUUCACAAUUAUCACAAAGUAAGUUCAUUUAAAGAAAUGCAUACUUGCAGCUUCCGCCUAUUUAUUCAAAUUCAUAUAUAUAUAUAGUAUAAACAUUUCAAUGACUUUAUUCACAAACAAUUUACAAAAAUACCAAGCACCAAUAAAAAUGAUCAAUUAAUCCACAAAGUGAGAAUAAAGACUAUAAUAAUACAUUGAAACAACAAUAAUCCACAAAGAUGAAUUAAUCUACCAAUUUGAAGUUCUUUAAGAUGCUACUAAUUUCCCGAAUCCGUAUAUUUGUCCAGCUCAAUUCUAACAAGCCAAUAUCACAAAAAUAAUUCUAUGAUAAACUAAGGCUUAAAUGAUAAAAAUCAUAACCUGGACUUUUCCUUGCUGAAAAUAGCUACGGCCAAGAUUUGCCUCAAAUUAACCACGUUACUUCAAGACAUCAACCGUUCAAGCAUUUCCUCUGAGCUUCGCAAUCUGCACUUUCAAAUCAUCUAAUUUAAUUCCUUUGAUCAAAACCAACCGCCGUGGAGGAUCUGAGAAUUAGGGAACAACAUAAUUUAGAGAAAAUCCUUAAGAAUGUUGUAAAAUUAGACAUAAAUUAUCUUUAUAAAUAAUUAUCAUAUACAAAUAUAACAAUCAAUUAAAUAUAAACAAAAGGGAAAUCAAU